Molecule: long non-coding RNA, 2542 nt
Filed under: Helianthus annuus (common sunflower)
Lineage: Eukaryota; Viridiplantae; Streptophyta; Magnoliopsida; Asterales; Asteraceae
Description: hypothetical non coding rna
Source: RNAcentral
UGAAAACCAACAUUAUUGCAUUCAUCAAAAAUCCAAUACAAAUACAAUAUUUUUCAUAUACCCUUUGUUAAAAAAAUUAAACCUCAAAUUUAAUUAUUUUAAGAGUUUAAGUAAUUAUCUACCCCGUUGCGGCCAUAAACUCAGCCUCUAUGCAUCGGCGACCGUUCAUGCAUAUGUAAUUUAGUCGUCUUCGACUGCCGAAAAACCUUCAACGGGCUCGGAAAAUACCAUCCGCGACGCUUAGUCGUCGCGGGGCUAAAACCGUCACCCGCACCAACCGCAACCGAUCUGGAUCUCAACAUCCUCGAAUAAUCUUCGGUUACUCCAUGACCAUCACUCUUAUUCGAUCCAUCAUCAUGUAAAUCACAUUUACUAGAUUUACCAACUUUAAAAACCGACCAGAAAUUAAUUUUACUCCUGCUAACAUACGCAGGCUUCUUAUUCUCCACCUCAACAAACUCUUGGUCCAACCCGUACCGGGAUCGCGAUCGUAGAAACGGGAUAGCUAGCGAUCUCGAUUUCCGAAAAGCAGGUUCGCUCUCUAUAAGAUUAGAGAUGCGACCUACUUCUCUGUUCCCGUGGCGGGACCCGCCACGGGAAUACUGAAAGAGAGAGAAUGAUGAGGAGGAUGAAGAGGAAGAAGUUGAUGUGGAAUGUUCAUGUUCUCGGGUACGAGAACAUGAACAUGGACGAGUGUUGGCACACUCCGGGCAGAGUGUGACCAACCGGUCACGUAGACACGUAGGACAGAUGCCCGUUGUUCUCCUGCGCUUUAAGGGGUGUUUUGGACAUUUGUAGACUUCUUCUUCCUCGGUGUAGAACGCCAUGUUCGUGUUGUUUAAGUUGUAACGGAUUUCGGUUUUUUCUCUCACUUGAAUUUUCUCUCUCCAGGAAUUAGCCAGUUUGUUAGUGGGUGGGGUGUUUAAAAAGGAAGAGGGGUGGAUGUGGAUCUUCAUCUAACCGUGGUUGGGUUGAAUUAACUAUGGUUGAAACGAUAUGGGUGAGUCUAGUUUUAGUGUUUACACACACCGGUUGGUGGACCAAGCUAGAAGGUUAGGAUAUUAAGGUGUCACAAAUAUGGUCCUUAGAUUGUCAGCCAUUUAUUAAAAAGAUAUACUUUAACUAUUUUAUUAUUGUAGGUGAAGGGAGCGGGAUAGGGGUUCGGGUUCAUUAAGUUGGACGGGAACGUUGUGGCAAAUGGUACAAGAUAGGAUUCGGAUUGGAAAUUCUUGAGAGUGAACUUGAUGUUGAAGCCGUAGAGAUGUCUGUUACGAUUUGGGAAGAUGAAAUUUGGGUUCAUGAGUUCGUUUUCGAGUGCAUUCUGCAAUUUGGGUUCAUCGGGUUUAGUUUAGGUAAAAAUAAGAUGACACUAUUUCAUCGGUGAGUUAACUCUCAUCAAUGAGUUAAUUUGGCUUCAAUUAGGAAAUAUAUCUAAUAUACAUAAAAUAAAAGAUAUAUAGGGUUGUAAACGAAUCGAAUGAACACGGACAAGGCUAUGUUCGUGUUCGUUCGUUAAGGAAAUUAACAUGUUCGCGAACUGUUCACAAACGCAUACCGAACAUAAGUUUAUGUUCGUGUUCGUUUGUUAAGGAAAUUCAGUUGUUCACGAACAGUUCGUGAACACCGGUCUCGAACACAAACGAAUGCAAGCAAAUAACAACGAAUGUAAACGAGCAUUUAACUUGAAAAAAUAAAAAAUAAAAAAACAUUGUUAUCCUUAAACAUUGGAUAUAAGUAGUUAAAUACAACCAUCAAAUGAUAAAUUAAAACACAAGAAGUCUACUACACCACUAAAUGAUAAAUCAAGGUUAACUAACCUAGACAUAAUUAUCCCAAAAAAAUGUCUUAGAGUGUCCAAAUUUUAGCUAACUUAGAAAAAGACAGAGUUUCAAGUUUUCAAUAUAUUUAGAUAAAAGAUUUAUUAUUUAUUAUUUUUAAUAUAAUCACACGAACAUGAACAAACGUAAACAAACAUAUUACCGAACGUUCACGAACGCAGUCGAACGAACGAAAUUUAUUGUUCGGGUUCGUUCGUUAAGCUAAUCGAACAAACAUGAACGAACUUGUCGCCGAACAGUUCACGAACUGUUCGUUAAACGUUUGGUUCGUUUAUAUAUGUGCAUAACGACUUACAUGAAUCAAGGUAAAUAAAAAUAAAGGGAUUAUUGAAUGUUUACAAAUGUAAUUUAACGAAUGAUUUAGUAAUCUUUGUAAAUAUGUAUAAAAUAAUAUUUAUAUAUUGAUAUCGAGAGGGAUCCAGUACAAAUAUGGAGUGACGAAUAAAUGAUAUAAAUAACUAGAGUAAUUAUUAUUAGAGUUAAUUACUGUUUUCGUCUCUGAGGUUUGUUAAAAAUAACGGUUUCAGUCCAUUAGUUUAAAAAUUGCGAUUUCAGUCCAUUAGUUUCAUUUUCGUAACCAUUUCAGUCCACUAACUUAACUCCAUCCAUUUAUUUUGUUAACUUUGAGUUAACUAACUAAUUCAGGGACGGUUUGCGUCAGUUUUAGAAACACAGGGACUUAAGUGUAAACUCUAAGACAUUAA